Neopsephotus bourkii (Bourke's parrot) is the source of this 892-nucleotide long non-coding RNA. RefSeq lists it as uncharacterized. NCBI's taxonomy places the organism in Eukaryota, Metazoa, Chordata, Aves, Psittaciformes, Psittacidae. The record is from RefSeq and is a predicted model, not a curated record. The transcript is spliced from 3 exons.
GGGCUGUGCCCGGGUAAGCGGCACUCGGUGGAAAGCGCGCCUCAGAGCGGUGCAGGGGUGAGCCGGGAGGGAGGUGGCCACGGAGCGGGUCUUAUUGGCUUCUCAGGUAAAAAUAAAUAGAGAAUUAAAGGUGUAACUGCGCGCACAGCUCUGGACAGAAUUGGGUCAGUUGGUUUGGUUUGAAUUUCUGGCGAGACAGCGCUGUCAGUUGCGCUGUACACGAUGCAACGGUGUUUGCGGCACUUGAUACGGUAACUCGUCGACAGCCGUUGAAGUUGUUCUGUUUUCAUGAAGCGCACUAGAUGCAACUGAAAGCAGAGUGGACAGUGUAUCAGUUAAAACCAAAGAUACAACAGGAAGAAAUUGGUUACUGCUUCAUGGCAGAAGCGGCAGAAGCACAUGGAUGACAGUACUCCAGUACUCCAACGUUAAUUUAAUCUGUAGGUUGCAUGAGAGCUGGAGAAGCUGAAGUCCAUGCAGAGAUUUUCUUCAGAUGUACAUGCUAGAAAGCAUUACUCUUCCAUUACAGCACUGUGAAUGGCAGAAGCCGGUGAGGAAUGGAAGCCUUCUGCCUAUCCCUGAGGAACCACUGACCACUUGGACCAUGCCCUGGGAAGGGGACACAGAGUUCUUCCCUUCCAUGAACAUGCUUGUGAAUGGCUGGGGAAGAGAGUGACACCUGACUCUGACUGGUACCUCCUGGAAAGGAAGAACCUGACAGGCACUGAAACAGCCUUCCACCAACAACAGCAAAUUAAAACCACACCCAACCAACUUUAGGACAGCUUGGUCAAGCUGUGAAUGGAAUUAAUACCACAAGUCAGGAUGCUGCUGAGCACGAUGGCACAGGAAACCCCUUCUAGUCUAUUACCAAUUAUCUGUAUUUAAGAAA